This 1361-nucleotide ribosomal RNA is filed under the name metagenome. Its description in RNAcentral is "bacterial SSU rRNA". It matches the Rfam family "Bacterial small subunit ribosomal RNA". The record is from RNAcentral.
UCGCGGAGCGCUCGAUUAGCGGCGAACGGGUGAGUAAUAAGUACAGACAUACCCCUUUGUAGGACAUAGUCCGCCGAAAGGCGGGGUAAUUUCCUAUAGUUCCACCAAUAGGUGGAUAAAGACGCAAGUCGCGAAGGGAGUGGUGUACUCGCUACCAGCUUGUUGGUGAGGUAAUGGCUCACCAAGGCUAUGACGGCUACCGGCUCUUAGCGGAGGGUCCGGCACAAUGGGACUGAGACACGGCCCAUACUUCUACGGAAGGCAGCAGCUAGGAAUUUUGCGCAAUGGACGAAAGUCUGACGCAGCGACAUCGCGUGUGGGAUGACGGCCCUCGGGUUGUAAACCACUUUUUGGGAGCCAUGAAGGCGCCCAGAAUAAGGAACUACUAACUACGUGCCAGCAGUCGCGGUAAUACGUAGGUUCCAAGCGUUGCCCGGUUUUAUUGGGCGUAAAGCGUCUUAGGUGGCUUUUUAAGUCUUGUUUCAAAGACCCCGACUCAAUCGGGGAAAGGGGCAGGAUACUGGAAAACUAGAGUUAUAUCGGGGUUACUGGAAUUUGUGGUGUAGGGGUAAAAUCCGUGGAUACCACAAAGAACACCAAGCGCGAAGGCGGGUAACCAGGUAUACACUGACACUCAGAGACGAAAGCUAGGGUAAUCAAUCAGAUUAGAGACCUGAGUAGUCCUAGCCGUAAACAUUGUCUGUUAAUUUUUUCUCGUUUAUCGGGAAGAGAUGCUAGCUAACGCGUUGAACAGACCGCCUGGGGAGUAUAGCCGCAAGGCCGAAACUCAAACGAAUUGGCGGGGAGGCGCACAACCAGUGGAGCAUGUGGUUCAAUUCGAUACGAAGCGAUAAACCUUACCUGGGUUUGAAAUGUAUCUGCAAGCUUUAUGAAAGUAGAGCCGCCUUCGAGGGUGAUACACAGCUGUUGCAUGGCUGUCGUCAGCUCGUGACGUGAGUUGUUCUCUUAAGUGAGGUAACGAGCGCAACCCCCAUUCCGUGUUACUGUGUCACGGAAGACUGCCCAGCAUUAUUUUGUUGGGAGGAAGGAGGGGACGAUGUCAAGUCAUCAUGAUGCUUAUAUCCAGGGCUACACACAUCCUACAAUGGGUUGUACAGAGGGUUGCAAGACCGCAAGGUGGAGCGAAUCCCUAAAACAUCCCUCAGUUGGGAUUGCAGGCUGCAAUUUGCCUGCAUGAACCCGGAAUUGGUAGUAAUCGCAAAUCAGAAGAUUGCGGUGAAUACGUUCUCGCCUCUUGCACACACUGCCCGUCAAAUCAGCAAAGUUGAGGGUACCCAAAGGCUCUGAUUCGUCAGGGACUAAGGUAAAUUCAGCGAUGAGGGUUAAGUCGUAACAAGGUA